Molecule: ribosomal RNA, 665 nt
Filed under: Nematoda environmental sample
Lineage: Eukaryota; Metazoa; Nematoda
Description: SSU rRNA
Rfam family: Eukaryotic small subunit ribosomal RNA
Source: RNAcentral
CGGUAUAACAGCCGCCGUUUAUUAAACGUUAGUUAUCUACUCGGAUAACUGUGGCAAUUCUAGAGCUAAUACGUGCACGAAGUCUCGGACCUUUUGGAAAGAGCGCAUUUAUUAGACCAAAACCAAUCAAGUUUCGGCUUGUGUUUUGGUGACUCUGAAUAACUUAGUUGAUCGCACAGUCUUAGUACUGGCGACGUAUUUUUCAAAUGUCUGCCUUAUCAACUUUCGAUGGUAGGUUAUACGCCUACCAUGGUUAUAACGGGUAACGGAGAAUAAGGGUUCGACUCCGGAGAGGGAGCCUGAGAAAUGGCUACCACAUCCAAGGAAGGCAGCAGGCGCGCAAAUUACCCAAUCCCAGAACGGGGAGGUAGUGACGAAAAAUAACGAGGUAGUCCACUUUGUGGCCUGCCAUCGGAAUGGGUACAAUCUAAAUCUUUUAACGAGGAUCUAUUAGAGGGCAAGUCUGGUGCCAGCAGCCGCGGUAAUUCCAGCUCUAAUAGCGUAUAUUAAAGUUGUUGUGGUUAAAACGCCCGUAGUUGGAUUUUCGGUCUUGAAGCUCGGUAGCUCGUAAGGGUUUAACUGAGUCUUCUGGCCUAAAUUUUAGUUUUCUCUUGAUGCUCUUUAUUGAGUGUCUUGAGCAGCUGGAACGUUUACUUUGAAAAAAU